UGCCACGGCAAUAUCACCCUGCAGCCCAAGACUGGUUACUCACUGAAGCUGAGCAGGGCUGAGUCUAGUCACUACCUAGAUGGGAGACUACAUGGGAAAACCAGGUUGCUGUUUUAG
This is a ribosomal RNA of Danio rerio (zebrafish), 117 nucleotides long. The record is from Ensembl. NCBI's taxonomy places the organism in Eukaryota, Metazoa, Chordata, Actinopteri, Cypriniformes, Danionidae.